GCACGCUGCGUUCCUCAGUCCCCCAGGAUGUAUCCAACGGAAAGCUAUAACACAGCCGAGACUGCUACCUUCAAACCGUCAUUAUCCACCCCGGAAAACUGAUGCUGGCCUGCAAACCGAAGCAAGCUCCGGCAAGCAAGUCUGACUUCAAGCGUUUCCCUUCCAACAAUUUCACGUACUGUUAACUCUCUUUCCAAAGUGCUUUUCAUCUUUCCCUCACGGUACUUGUUCGCUAUCGGUCUCUCGCCAAUAUUUAGCUUUAGAUGGAAUUUACCACCCAAUUUGAGCUGCAUUCCCAAACAACUCGACUCAUUGAAAGUGUAUCACAAAGCGCUGGGCGUCCGCACCAUAUACGGGGGUUUCACCACUAUGCCGCUGUAUUCCAACAGACUUGUGUGCGGUCCAACGCGGAAAACACUUCUAGAGAUUACAACUCGGACACCGAAGGUGCCAGAUUAUAAAUUUGAGCUCUUCCCGCUUCGCUCGCCGCUACUA
Molecule: ribosomal RNA, 495 nt
Filed under: Rhodotorula glutinis
Lineage: Eukaryota; Fungi; Basidiomycota; Microbotryomycetes; Sporidiobolales; Sporidiobolaceae
Description: partial 26S ribosomal RNA
Source: RNAcentral